Molecule: non-coding RNA, 91 nt
Organism: Blastosporella zonata
Lineage: Eukaryota; Fungi; Basidiomycota; Agaricomycetes; Agaricales; Lyophyllaceae
Source: the annotation of a GenBank genome assembly
UCUUUGCUAGUAUAUCGGUUAGUACACGCGCCUGUCAUAUUACCGAUUUGGCGCACCGCGCGAAAGCUGGGUUCGACUCCCAGGCAGAGAG